UGGGUAGGGGAGCGUUCUGUAAGCCUGUGAAGGUGGCCUGUGAGGGUUGCUGGAGGUAUCAGAAGUGCGAAUGCUGACAUAAGUAACGAUAAAGCGGGUGAAAAGCCCGCUCGCCGGAAGACCAAGGGUUCCUGUCCAACGUUAAUCGGGGCAGGGUGAGUCGACCCCUAAGGCGAGGCCGAAAGGCGUAGUCGAUGGGAAACGGGUUAAUAUUCCCGUACUUGGUGUUACUGCGAAGGGGGGACGGAGAAGGCUAUGUUGGCCGGGCGACGGUUGUCCCGGUUUAAGCGUGUAGGUGUGUGUUCCAGGUAAAUCCGGUUCACUUUAACACUGAGGCGUGACGACGAGGCACUACGGUGCUGAAGCAACAAAUGCCCUGCUUCCAGGAAAAGCCUCUAAGCAUCAGGUAACAUCAAAUCGUACCCCAAACCGACACAGGUGGUCAGGUAGAGAAUACCAAGGCGCUUGAGAGAACUCGGGUGAAGGAACUAGGCAAAAUGGUGCCGUAACUUCGGGAGAAGGCACGCUGACACGUAGGUGAAGUGAUUUACUCACGGAGCUGAAGUCAGUCGAAGAUACCAGCUGGCUGCAACUGUUUAUUAAAAACACAGCACUGUGCAAACACGAAAGUGGACGUAUACGGUGUGACGCCUGCCCGGUGCCGGAAGGUUAAUUGAUGGGGUCAGCGCAAGCGAAGCUCCUGAUCGAAGCCCCGGUAAACGGCGGCCGUAACUAUAACGGUCCUAAGGUAGCGAAAUUCCUUGUCGGGUAAGUUCCGACCUGCACGAAUGGCGUAAUGAUGGCCAGGCUGUCUCCACCCGAGACUCAGUGAAAUUGAACUCGCUGUGAAGAUGCAGUGUACCCGCGGCAAGACGGAAAGACCCCGUGAACCUUUACUAUAGCUUGACACUGAACAUUGAGCCUUGAUGUGUAGGAUAGGUGGGAGGCUUUGAAGCGUGGACGCCAGUCUGCGUGGAGCCGACCUUGAAAUACCACCCUUUAAUGUUUGAUGUUCUAACGUGGACCCGUAAUCCGGGUUGCGGACAGUGUCUGGUGGGUAGUUUGACUGGGGCGGUCUCCUCCUAAAGAGUAACGGAGGAGCACGAAGGUUGGCUAAUCCUGGUCGGACAUCAGGAGGUUAGUGCAAUGGCAUAAGCCAGCUUGACUGCGAGCGUGACGGCGCGAGCAGGUGCGAAAGCAGGUCAUAGUGAUCCGGUGGUUCUGAAUGGAAGGGCCAUCGCUCAACGGAUAAAAGGUACUCCGGGGAUAACAGGCUGAUACCGCCCAAGAGUUCAUAUCGACGGCGGUGUUUGGCACCUCGAUGUCGGCUCAUCACAUCCUGGGGCUGAAGUAGGUCCCAAGGGUAUGGCUGUUCGCCAUUUAAAGUGGUACGCGAGCUGGGUUUAGAACGUCGUGAGACAGUUCGGUCCCUAUCUGCCGUGGGCGCUGGAGAACUGAGGGGGGCUGCUCCUAGUACGAGAGGACCGGAGUGGACGCAUCACUGGUGUUCGGGUUGUCAUGCCAAUGGCACUGCCCGGUAGCUAAAUGCGGAAGAGAUAAGUGCUGAAAGCAUCUAAGCACGAAACUUGCCCCGAGAUGAGUUCU
This 1605-nucleotide ribosomal RNA is filed under the name Salmonella enterica subsp. enterica serovar Litchfield. Its description in RNAcentral is "bacterial LSU rRNA". It matches the Rfam family "Bacterial large subunit ribosomal RNA", at positions 1225 to 2812 of the family's 2925-position model. The record is from RNAcentral. Lineage: Bacteria; Pseudomonadati; Pseudomonadota; Gammaproteobacteria; Enterobacterales; Enterobacteriaceae.